UUAGUAGCGGCGAGCGAAGCGGGAAGAGCCCAAUAUGAAAAGCCAGCUUGCUGGCGUUGUAGUUGAGCGUCUUUGGGGUGUCAGUUCGGGAAAGUGGCAUGAAAGUGCUCACCGGGGAGGGUGAAAGUCCCGUCCAUCCCGUUCAGGACACCUCGCACAAAGACGUUUCAGACGAGUCGGGUAGCUUGGGAAUGCUGCUCUAAUUGGUGGUAAAUCUCAUCAAAGGCUAAAUACUGGUGGGAGACCGAUAGUGAACAAGUACCGUGAGGGAAAGAUGAAAAGUACUUUGAAAAGAGGGUAAAAAGAACCUGAAACCGUUACGGGGGAAGCGGAUUGCGUUGGCCUGGUGGCUGCUUGUGUGUUCAGCCCUUUGUGGUGCAUUGAUACAGGUGGUUAUUCGUCGUGGCUUUUCGGUGGCUGAUAAUGAGUUGCUGAAUGGUGAGGGCUCCCCUUUUUGGGUGAGGACGACGAAGUGAUGACGCGAUACGACCCGUCUUGAAACACGGACCAAGGAGUCUAGCGCAGGUGCGAGUCAAAGGGUGUCAAAACCUGUGGGCGCAGUGAAAGCGACUUUUUUUUUAAAAAAGAAAAACGAGCAGUUUGGGGCGGCAUAGAAUCGUUGAUUCUAGGUCCGACCUUGAGCAGUUGCGCUGGGACCCGAAAGAUGGUGAACUAUGCCGGAGUAGGGCGAAGCCAGAGGAAACUCUGGUGGAGGCUCGUAGCGGUGCUGACGUGCAAAUCGCUCGUCGAACUUGGGUAUAGGGGCGAAAGACUAAUCGAACCAUCUAGUAGCUGGUUUCCUCCGAAGUUUCUCUCAGGAUAGCAGGCCGACACUUUUUUUAAGUUGUUUUGUGCGGUAAAGCGAAUGAUUAGCGCAUUCGGGGGCGUUUAGCCUUUGGGCGAUUCUCAAACUUUAAAUGCGCAAGGGUACUGGUGCUUUGUUGAGCGGUACCGUUAAAAACGUCGGCCUUGUGGGCCACUUUUGGUAAGCAGAACUGGCGAUACGGGAUGAACCGUAAGCAUGGUUAAGGUGCCAAACUGCCCGCUUAUAGAUCCCACAAAAGGUGUUGAUUCAUCGAGACAGCAGGACGGUGGCCAUGGAAGUCGGAAUCCGCUAAGGAGUGUGUAACAACUCACCUGCCGAAUGAAUCAGCCCUGAAAAUGGAUGGCGCUUAAGCGGGCGACCGACACCAUGCCGUCUGUACAAGAUGAAUGUUUUACAGAUGAGUAGGAGGACGUGGCGGUUGUGUCGAAGCAUGCGUGCGAACGCGUGUGGAACGGCCGCUAGUGCAGAUCUUGGUGGUAGUAGCAAAUAUUCAAGCGAGAUCCUUGAAGGGCGAAGCGGGGAAGGGUUCCACGCGAACAUUGAUUGGGCGUGGGUGAGUCGUUCCUAAGCCGAGUGGCAAUUGCUAAGUAGCGGCGAAAGGGAAGCAGGUUGACAUUCCUGCACACGGAUGUGGAGGCGGUGACGCUUUAAUGAGGGCGAACACGCUGGCGAUGGCGCUGGGCAGAGAUUUCUUUUCUGUUUGACCGCUGAAGCGCGCGGUGUGGAAUCCGCUUGUCGGGAGAAACACGCGCGUUCGGGCAGAGCGCCGGGGCUAUUCCGGCGUCCAGCUCGCCAUCGACGGCCCUUGAAAAUUUGCCUGCUGAAAUAGUGUUUUUUUUAUACUAUGAAGAUCCACGCCGUGGCGUACCGAUAACCGCAUCAGGUCCCCAAGGUGAACAGCCUCUGCUCUAUAUGAAUAAUGCAGGUAAGGGAAGUCGGCAAAUUGGACCCGUAACUUUGGGAAAAGGGUUGGCUCUAGUGCUGCGUGGGAGUAGUUGUCGGGUGUGGGCGUUUUUGGACUUGCUGAGCGAGCGCGAGGAAGCGCCUCUUUCCUUUUUUAGGAGAGUCGGAGUUUCUUUGUGUUCAAUUGGCGAGUCUGCAUCCGCCUCGCUCGACGACGCCCACAGCAUGCAGCAGACUAGAACUGCAACGGGCAAAGGGAAUCCGACUGUUUAAUUAAAACAAAGCAUUGCGA
Molecule: ribosomal RNA, 2021 nt
Filed under: Grateloupia carnosa
Lineage: Eukaryota; Rhodophyta; Florideophyceae; Halymeniales; Halymeniaceae
Description: partial large subunit ribosomal RNA
Rfam family: Eukaryotic large subunit ribosomal RNA
Source: RNAcentral